AGAACCGUGCUCUAGCUAGCUCGUCUUAGCAAAUGUCGUCCAAUCCAGUGCUAACUGAUAGAACCUUCUGCAAUGAUGGGAAUGUUCUGUAGCUGGAUAACCCCUGGCACAAAUGACUACUGGGUACUGGAAAUGUGGCCACAAGGAACCGAAUUUUUCAUUGUGUUUCACUGUAAUUUAAAUUCACAUGGCCCUGGGUGGCCAGUAGCGCUCACAUUGGACAGAACAGCUCUAUUGUAAUCAUCUGUGCUCUACCAGUUUUCUGGGUGGUUAGUUUGUAAACUGGUUUUGGCUUCAUGCCUGCAUAAGAACUACAAGCACGAAUUUAUGCCUGGUUUUACAUUUUGUGCCUGUCAAAGUGACAUUAUAAGAAAAGACACUAUAUGGUCACUUGAGAGUCUUUGAGGGUUCUUUUUGUUUAGAAGGGAAUAGACAAGGGUUCCAGUGUGAGGAGACAUUUCUCUGGAUGUCCUGGACACCUGCUCUCCCAUCAGCUCCCUGCUGUCCCCAGUGAUGGGGACAUUUCCCGCUAAAGGUGUGGGCUGUGUCCUCAGCAGGGGGAGUUGGGUGGAGGGAGACGCUGACUCCACUCUCAGGAAGUGGGAGGAGGGGGCAGAUCCGUGCACACUGUGUCCUUGACCACCAGCCUCAGAAGCAGGCCAUGCCCGGCCAGCAGCCAGCCUGCCUGUCCUCUUCAGCCAUGCAUCAAAUAUUUAGUGGGUGCCUGCUGUGUUCCAGGCACUGUUCCAGGCCCUGGGUGUGGGAGCCAGGCAGCAGACCCCUCUCCUUGAGGACCUGCCGCUCUGGCGGAGAUGACAGGUGUCACAGCACGAUGGUCAUAUCAGUGCUGGAGAGGGAGGGAAUUCCUAGGAUGCUUGCUAGAGGGUCAUGGGGUUGGGCCACUUCUCAACCACAGGGCUGGGGCACGCCAAGUGCAGAGGCUUGGAAGAGCCAUGAUGGAUCCAGGCCCUGAUGCCUGAGAAGGAGUCAGCCAGGCGGAGCCGGGGAGGAGCACUCCAGGCAGACCGGUGAGGCUAGAGGAACACAAGCAAAGCAAGGGCCUCAGAGCGGACAGAGCCAGGGGAAAGAGGCUUGACACAGGGGCAGCAGCCUGUCUCAGCUCCAGAGUGGAACUCACAUUCACAGGCACUUGCAGGCUCACAGGGAGGACUGACUACGAGGAGGAGGAUUCAGAUGCAACGACUUGUCCUUCACCUUAGAACAGGCCCCACACCCCUGGAUGUUUCCCUGAGGUAGAAGGCUCUGAAUUGCAGCUGGGUUUAUUCCCCACCUUCUGACACCAACAAGUCUGGAAUGGUGACUACUUCUUGUGCCUUACGUCCCAUCAGCAUGAUGUCAUCAGUGUAAUGGGCCAGUGUGACAUCCUGGGGAAGGAAAAGGUGAUCGAGACCUCUGAGAAUUACCUCUGACACAGGCUGGAGAGGUGAGAGGCCCCUGAGGUGGGGCGGUGAGGGUGCGUUGCUGGCCUGGCUUCUGCUGGGCCUUGUGGACGGGGGUGGAGGAGAACGCAUUUGCCGGAUCAGUAGCUGCGCACCAGGAAGCAGGAGAUGUGCUAAUUUGCUCAAGCAAUGGAAACACGUCUGGCCCAGCAGCUGCAGUUGGAGUCAAACUUAGGACAGUCUCCCGUCAUUCUCCAGGACCCACCUGUCUCCCCUACGGGCCGAACAGUUACCCAGAUGGAAGGCCGUAGACCCCUUUGGAGAAGACCAGGGGAAGAAUUAACAGUGUUUAUACAUUUUUGGCAGUCCUGGGGUCCUUCCUCAAGGGUACCCAGACUUUCUUUCGUUCUUUCUGGAUUCAUAGACUGACUCAAGUCUGUGAAUGACUGAGGCCAUGAUUCUCGGCUUUUAUGGCUGGAGUUAGAGUUCUGUCCACUUGAUCUGGAAGUUUUUUGCUUGUACCCAGUAGGAAUUGAGCAGGCUUCUGGUCUGUUUCACUGCUAGGAACAACAUGAGCUAGGAAACCCAUCUUCUCCUGUCUGUGGGCAUCGGAACUCCGGGUUCUCCAGCCACUGCACCCUGGGACUCAUACCAGUAGCUACUCCACCACCACCAGUUUUCAGGCCUUUGGCCUCAGACUGAGAGUUACACAAUCUGCUCCCCUGGUUCUGAGACCUCUGGGCUUAGACUGAGCCCCGCACCAGCUUCUCUAGGUCUCCAGCUUGCAGAUAGCCUGUCGUGAGACUUCUCAGCCUACAUAAUCAGACUGUGGUUGACCAUCGGUCAUGACAACUGCAGGAAGUGAAAUCACGGAGAAGGGGGAUCACCAUGCAUAAGCUGGGACAGGUGUUUUGUGAUUUCCAGUGGGGACGAACAGGCACGUACGCAGGGAUUCAACAAUCCCUCCUCUACUUGCGCACGCCAUCAAAGCAGAGUUCUUCAACGUGGGAGCCACUGCCCGCUCAGGGAGGUCUUGACAUCAGCACAGAAACUACAAGAACAGAAGGGAGGGAGUGGUGAUGUGCUUCCGAGACCCCAGGAGGCGGGCAGCACAUAUGGGGAAACUGAGGCACCACAAGGCUCCAGUCCAAACAGAGACUGACCGCCCUGCCACCCAGCCGUCCCCACGCUCACCGUGUCCUGGAUGGCCGCCAGCUCCUGCCGCCCGACGUG
This is a long non-coding RNA of Cercocebus atys (sooty mangabey), 2633 nucleotides long. RefSeq lists it as uncharacterized. The record is from RefSeq and is a predicted model, not a curated record. The transcript is spliced from 8 exons. Lineage: Eukaryota; Metazoa; Chordata; Mammalia; Primates; Cercopithecidae.